RNAcentral lists this ribosomal RNA (499 nucleotides) under uncultured bacterium. Its description in RNAcentral is "bacterial SSU rRNA". It matches the Rfam family "Bacterial small subunit ribosomal RNA", at positions 20 to 526 of the family's 1533-position model. The record is from RNAcentral.
UGGCUCACAUUGAACGCUGGCGGCAGGCUUAACACAUGCAAGUCGAGCGGGGGCUUCGGCCCUAGCGGCGAACGGGUGAGGAAUGCCUGGGAAUCUGCCUGGUAGUGGGGGAUAACGAUCCGAAAGGAUCGCUAAUACCGCAUACGUCCUACGGGAGAAAGCAGGGGACCUUCGGGCCUUGCGCUAUCAGAUGAGCCCAGGUCGGAUUAGCUAGUUGGUGAGGUAAAGGCUCACCAAGGCGACGAUCCGUAGCUGGUCUGAGAGGACGAUCAGCCACACUGGAACUGAGACACGGUCCAGACUCCUACGGGAGGCAGCAGUGGGGAAUUUUGGACAAUGGGCGAAAGCCUGAUCCAGCCAUUCCGCGUGAGUGAAGAAGGCCUUCGGGUUGUAAAGCUCUUUCGGCAGGAACGAAACGGUCUUGGUUAAUACCCGAGGCUAAUGACGGUACCUGAAGAAGAAGCACCGGCUAACUACGUGCCAGCCGCCGCGGUAAUAC